RNAcentral lists this long non-coding RNA (490 nucleotides) under Ananas comosus (pineapple). RNAcentral's name for it is "long non-coding RNA (ACOM_LNC005521)". Lineage: Eukaryota; Viridiplantae; Streptophyta; Magnoliopsida; Poales; Bromeliaceae. The record is from RNAcentral.
GCUAAGCUACGACUUGCAAUUAAACAUGGCAUUCAUAAUGCGACUUUAUCUUGUCAUGGAUAAUAUAUAUAUCUACAUGUUCAUAAGUAAUAUCAUGAUUUACUUUAUACAGAUAUGAAAGUGAUACUUUGUCAUGACUACAGUGCAUAUAAGGAUGCAAUAAACAACAUCUCCUAGCAUACUACAUGUAUGUAUGAAUACCCAAAUGUCCACAACUAUACUAGAAGUAAGUCCAAGUAAUCCUACUACUACUCUCUGUCUAGUAGUGAUCAUAAUAAACUCAACACCGUGUCGAUUUCCAUUUCCAAUUAAGGACCUACCAAAGGUAGUCCAGCUUGUGCCGCCUAAGUGCCUGUGGUAGCCCAACAUCCCUACUCUUGGAAUGUGUCUGUCCCACUCGACCCCGUAGGCUUCUCAAUACCGCACGAGCGAACAUAGGUCGCGUAGGCUAACUCCGGAGUGCCGGCUUGUAGGGAGCGACCCUCACAAG